CAGCAGCCGCGGUAAUACGUAGGGGGCGAGCGUAAUCCGGAUUCAUUGGGCGUAAAGCGCGCGUAGGCGGCCCGGCAGGCCGGGGGUCGAAGCGGGGGGCUCAACCCCCCGAAGCCCCCGGAACCUCCGCGGCUUGGGUCCGGUAGGGGAGGGUGGAACACCCGGUGUAGCGGUGGAAUGCGCAGAUAUCGGGUGGAACACCGGUGGCGAAGGCGGCCCUCUGGGCCGAGACCGACGCUGAGGCGCGAAAGCUGGGGGAGCGAACAGGAUUAGAUACCCUGGUAGUCCCAGCCGUAAACGAUGGACGCUAGGUGUGGGGGGACGAUCCCCCCGUGCCGCAGCCAACGCAUUAAGCGUCCCGCCUGGGGAGUACGGCCGCAAGGCUAAAACUCAAAGGAAUUGACGGGGGCCCGCACAAGCAGCGGAGCAUGUGGCUUAAUUCGAAGCAACGCGAAGAACCUUACCAGGGCUUGACAUAUGGGUGAAGCGGGGGAGACCCCGUGGCCGAGAGGAGCCCAUACAGGUGGUGCAUGGCUGUCGUCAGCUCGUGUCGUGAGAUGUUGGGUUAAGUCCCGCAACGAGCGCAACCCCCGCCGCGUGUUGCCAUCGGGUGAUGCCGGGAACCCACGCGGGACCGCCGCCGUCAAGGCGGAGGAGGGCGGGGACGACGUCAAGUCAUCAUGCCCCUUAUGCCCUGGGCUGCACACGUGCUACAAUGGCCGGUACAGAGGGAUGCCACCCCGCGAGGGGGAGCGGAUCCCGGAAAGCCGGCCCCAGUUCGGAUUGGGGGCUGCAACCCGCCCCCAUGAAGUCGGAGUUGCUAGUAAUCGCGGAUCAGCAUGCCGCGGUGAAUGCGUUCCCGGGCCUUGCACUCAACGCCCGUCA
RNAcentral lists this ribosomal RNA (885 nucleotides) under uncultured bacterium. RNAcentral describes it as "partial 16S ribosomal RNA". It matches the Rfam family "Bacterial small subunit ribosomal RNA", at positions 509 to 1399 of the family's 1533-position model. The record is from RNAcentral.